Molecule: long non-coding RNA, 253 nt
Filed under: Musa acuminata (dwarf banana)
Lineage: Eukaryota; Viridiplantae; Streptophyta; Magnoliopsida; Zingiberales; Musaceae
Description: long non-coding RNA (MACU_LNC006885)
Source: RNAcentral
AGGAGCCGCGGUUUGCGGCGGUGACAGCCGUGUGAGGAUAGCAAAAGUGCACGUCGUUCAUUAAGAUAUACUGUUCCUUCGAUUUAAUUCUUCGCAUGUAAUGAAUAAAACGAGUCGUCAGCCUCUCGACUAUGAUCACAUAAGUUCUGAUUUCUACGGUUCUUUCAUGUUAAUAGAAAUAAUGACAAAGGUAAAUAUAAUGAUAUUCUUUAAAUCACGAUAGAGAUAAAUAUAAAUGAUAUUUUUGUAUUUC